UACGUAGGUGGCGAGCGUCGUCCGGAUUUACUGGGCGUAAAGGAUGCGUAGGUGGAUGUUUAAGUCAGAUGUGAAAUACCCGAGCUUAACUUGGGUGCUGCAUUUGAAACUGGAUAUCUAGAGUGCAGGAGAGGUAAGUGGAAUUCCUAGUGUAGCGGUGAAAUGCGUAGAGAUUAGGAAGAACACCAGUGGCGAAGGCGACUUACUGGACUGUAACUGACACUGAGGCAUGAAAGCGUGGGUAGCAAACAGG
RNAcentral lists this ribosomal RNA (253 nucleotides) under uncultured bacterium. Its description in RNAcentral is "partial 16S ribosomal RNA". It matches the Rfam family "Bacterial small subunit ribosomal RNA", at positions 524 to 776 of the family's 1533-position model. The record is from RNAcentral.